UACAGAGGGUGCAAGCGUUGUUCGGAAUUAUUGGGCGUAAAGCGCGUGUAGGCGGUCUUGCAAGUCGGGUGUGAAAUCCCUUGGCUCAACUGAGGAAGUGCGCCCGAAACUGCAGGACUUGAGUACCGGAGAGGAUGGCGGAAUUCCCCAAGUAGAGGUGAAAUUCGUAGAUAUGGGGAGGAACACCGGUGGCGAAGGCGGCCAUCUGGACGGAUACUGACGCUGAGACGCGAAAGCAUGGGGAGCAAACAGG
RNAcentral lists this ribosomal RNA (253 nucleotides) under uncultured bacterium. RNAcentral describes it as "partial 16S ribosomal RNA". It matches the Rfam family "Bacterial small subunit ribosomal RNA", at positions 524 to 776 of the family's 1533-position model. The record is from RNAcentral.